AAUUAACAUCUCAGGUACCAAAAAGAUCAUUGUCGGAUGUUAUUACCGACCCCCAUCACAUGAUGGAACAUCUCUUGAAAACUUAAAUAGUUCUUUAACAAAAAUCAAAAACAUCUCAAAUUCUAACAUAUGGCUAGGAGGAGACUUUAACUUAGGCCAUAUUGAUUGGUCAGUUCCAUCUAUUAUUGCUGGAAAACCAGAACAAAAAUUACACCAACAACUUCUAGACAUAGUUAAACACGCAAAGACAGAACCCUAGAUCUGUUCUUCACUAAUAAUCCAUCUAGUGUAAAUAAAAUGACAACUUUACCACCAAUUGGUAAGGCAGAUCAUGAUAUAGUAUACCUUGAAAUUGACACAUGGCUAAAAAGGGUACGGGAACUACCUAGAAAAAUCAUGAAAUUUAAUAAAGCAAAUUGGGAGAACAUAAAAGCUGAUCUCACUGUAUUAUUAACAACAAUACAAGAAAAAUACAAACACAGUAAUGUAAAUGAAUUAAUUUUUUGUGGGAAAAUUUUAAGAUAGACCUCAUAAAAUCUAUAGAAACAAAUGUACCACACAAAAUGAUAACUUACAAACAUAGAUUACCUUGGGUAACAGACAAACUGCGUAGGCUUAUAAAUAAGAAAAACAAAGCUUAUCAAAAAAGGAAGAAAGAUCCAGAAAAAUAUAAAAAGUUAAAACAAAUAGUACAAAAAGAAUUACGAACAGAAUAUUGGAAAUAUAUUGAAAAAAUGAUCUGUGACAUACCAAUAGACGAACCUGGUCAAUAUGAAACAGCAAAAGCAAAACCAAAAAAUCUGUUCAGCUAUAUCAAAAGCACACGAUCUGAUAACACUGGUGUUGCACUUUUGAAAAAAGACGGCAAACUAGUUACAGACACUGAGGAAAAAGCGAACAUUUUAAAUCAACAGUUCCAAUCAGUAUUUACAGAUGAAACAGAUGAUAACAUCCCAGACAAAGGUACAAGCCCCCACCCAAAAAUGCCAAAAAUAACAAUCACUGAAGCAGGUAUUACUAAAUUACUGUCAAACAUAAAUCCACAUAAAGCUUGCGGCCCGGACAAUAUCAAUGGCAGAGUCCUUAAAGAACUAAAGGAACAAAUCACCAAAUUCUUACAUUGAUAUUUAAAAAGUCACUUGAUACUGCCAAGAGAAACACCUAAGGACUGGAAACAUGCUAAUGUAGCUCCAGCUUUCAAAAAGGGGGAAAAAUACAAACCCGUAAACUACAGGCCAAUAUCUUUAACCUGCAUAUGUUGCAAGCUAAUGGAACAUAUCAUUACAAGUAACAUCAUGUCUCACCUUGAAAAACAUCACAUAUUAUACGAUCUACAACACGGCUUCAGAAAAUCAAGGUCGUGUGAUACACAAUUAAUAGACUUCAUUCAAGAACUAGCACGAUCAAAUAAUAGUAACACACAAAUUGACUUAAUCAUAAUGGACUUCGCUAAAGCGUUCGACAAAGUCUCACAUCGUCACCUCCUUUACAAACUAAAUUCUAUGGUAUUGAAAAUAACACACUAAAUUGGAUUCAGGCAUUUUUACAGGACAGAACACAAACAGUAGUCAUUAAUGGCAUUUCCUCCACCUCAGUACCCGUAACAUCUGGUGUACCACAAGGAACAGUAUUGGGCCCAAUACUGUUUCUUAUCUAUAUAAAUGACUUACCGGAAUACCUAGAACACAGUAAACUUAGACUCUUUACUGAUGACAGCAUAAUUUACAGGGAAAUAAAAACACAAGAUGAUUGUCAUAAGCUACAACUUGACCUUGACUCAGCAGCUCGAUGGGAGUCAGAUUGGCUUAUGGCAUUUCACCCUGAUAAAUGUACAAACCUUUCCAUCUCUCAAAAGAAAAAUAACUACCGGCAUAAUUACAUCCUCCACAAUCACAUUCUCGAAUCAGUUACAUCCGCAAAAUAUCUAGGCAUUACCUUACAAUCAAAUCUGAAGUGGAACAAACAUAUAGACAACAUAGUAUCAAAUGGGAACAGAUCACUUGGUUUUCUAAAAAGAAAUUUAAAAAUUACAAACACAGAAACAAAAUCAAGAGCAUACCAGGCACUAGUAAGACCCAA
Molecule: long non-coding RNA, 2079 nt
Filed under: Mytilus galloprovincialis (Mediterranean mussel)
Lineage: Eukaryota; Metazoa; Mollusca; Bivalvia; Mytilida; Mytilidae
Source: RNAcentral